GUUCUGUUGCCUUGCUAGACGGCAGAGGGUAGAGGCUUUCGGGGAAGCUGCUACCUUGACUAAAUGCCACGCGGCAUUCGAGUUUCUUUUGGGGACACAAUGCAACAUUGGAAGUUCGAUACUCACGGGCCGGGUGCCGGCUAUAAAGAGGGGGGAGGAGGCUCACGGGCCCUGCCGCAAAAAGCACGGCCCCGGCCGGGGCUCUCGACGACCUCGUUUCGUUGCGAUGGCCCAGCAGCUUCUCCUCCUGGUCCUCCUCCUGACCGCCGCCGCCUCCACCUGCAUCACGGCCCUGGCUGCGCCGGCAAGCCCGCCGCUGCCGGAGGCCUUCCUCGCCUUCGCCAUGUGGGCUCUGGCGUCGACGGCGCUCGCGGUGCACCUGCCGCGCGCGCGCCGUCGCGGCGCCGAGUGAGCCCGGCCGAUCGACGGCUGCCGGGCUCACGCCCAUCCAUUAUAGAUGAGACGUGGCGGCCAUGGCGUUCGUCGGCAGAUCGACCCAAGCGUGCGUCGAGCUCGCCGGAGACCUGUCAUCACUAGCAUAUCUAAUCAAGGGUACGGUAUGUCCCACGCGUCAGGAACUGAAUGAUCUAGCCAGUCGUUGGAGUCGGAGACUCGAAGGCAGCCAUUUCUCAUCGAAAGAGAUGGACAGGGUCAACGAGCGGCGCAGUGCUCCAAUCACCGAGAUCAGUCAAGUCACGACGAUAAUCUAAAUAAUUCUCCGUCUAUGAGAGUGUAUUUUGUACGUACUCCGCUAAUAUAACCACCAUGUACGCGUCCUUUGUAUUGGUCCACGUAUAUUGAUAUAUUACUUAGUAUACAAUAUUAUUAUGAAGACAA
This is a long non-coding RNA of Panicum virgatum (switchgrass), 837 nucleotides long. RefSeq lists it as uncharacterized. NCBI's taxonomy places the organism in Eukaryota, Viridiplantae, Streptophyta, Magnoliopsida, Poales, Poaceae. The record is from RefSeq and is a predicted model, not a curated record. The transcript is spliced from 2 exons.